This 600-nucleotide ribosomal RNA is filed under the name uncultured bacterium. Its description in RNAcentral is "bacterial SSU rRNA". It matches the Rfam family "Bacterial small subunit ribosomal RNA", at positions 19 to 604 of the family's 1533-position model. The record is from RNAcentral.
AUGGCUCACGAUGAACGCUAGCGGCAGGUUUAAUACAUGCAAGUCUUAGGGGCAGCAUGACUGUAGCAAUACAGUUGAUGGCGACCGGCAAACGGGUGCGGAACACGUACAGAACCUUCCUUCGAGCGGGGAAUAGCCCAGAGAAAUUUGGAUUAAUACCCCAUAGUACAACGGAGUGGCAUCACUUUGUUGUUAAAGAUUUAUCACUUGAAGAUGGCUGUGCGGCUGAUUAGGUAGUUGGCGGGGUAACGGCCCACAAGCUGCGAUCAGUAACUGGUGUGAGAGCACGACCAGUCACACGGGCACUGAGACACGGGCCCGACUCCUACGGGAGGCAGCAGUAAGGAAUAUUGGUCAAUGGACCGAAAGUCUGAACCCAGCCCAUGCCCGCGUGGAGGAUGAAGGUCCCUCUGGAUUGUAAACUUCUUUUAUAUGGGACGAAAAAAGGGUUUUCUAACUCGUCUGACGGUACCAUAUGAAUAAGCACCGGCUAACUCCCGUGCCAGCCGCCGCGGUAAUACGGAGGGUGCAAGCGUUAUUCCGGAUUCACCGGGUUUAAAGGGUGCCUAGGUGGGUUGGUGAGUCACUGGUGAAAUCUCC